Molecule: ribosomal RNA, 796 nt
Filed under: Curvularia sp.
Lineage: Eukaryota; Fungi; Ascomycota; Dothideomycetes; Pleosporales; Pleosporaceae
Description: partial large subunit ribosomal RNA
Rfam family: Eukaryotic large subunit ribosomal RNA
Source: RNAcentral
CUAGUAACGGCGAGUGAAGCGGCAACAGCUCAAAUUUGAAAUCUGGCUCUUUCAGAGUCCGAGUUGUAAUUUGCAGAGGGCGCUUUGGCUUUGGCAGCGGUCCAAGUUCCUUGGAACAGGACGUCACAGAGGGUGAGAAUCCCGUACGUGGUCGCUAGCUAUUGCCGUGUAAAGCCCCUUCGACGAGUCGAGUUGUUUGGGAAUGCAGCUCUAAAUGGGAGGUAAAUUUCUUCUAAAGCUAAAUAUUGGCCAGAGACCGAUAGCGCACAAGUAGAGUGAUCGAAAGAUGAAAAGCACUUUGGAAAGAGAGUCAAACAGCACGUGAAAUUGUUGAAAGGGAAGCGCUUGCAGCCAGACUUGCUUGCAGUUGCUCAUCCGGGCUUUUGCCCGGUGCACUCUUCUGCAGGCAGGCCAGCAUCAGUUUGGGCGGUGGGAUAAAGGUCUCUGUCACGUACCAUCCUUCGGGAUGGCCAUAUAGGGGAGACGUCAUACCACCAGCCUGGACUGAGGUCCGCGCAUCUGCUAGGAUGCUGGCGUAAUGGCUGUAAGCGGCCCGUCUUGAAACACGGACCAAGGAGUCUAACAUCUAUGCGAGUGUUUGGGUGUCAAGCCCGAGCGCGUAAUGAAAGUGAACGGAGGUGGGAACCCGCAAGGGUGCACCAUCGACCGAUCCUGAAGUUUACGGAAGGAUUUGAGUAAGAGCAUGGCUGUUGGGACCCGAAAGAUGGUGAACUAUGCUUGAAUAGGGUGAAGCCAUAGGAAACUCUGGUGGAGGCUCGCAGCGGUUCUGACGUGC